AAGUCGAGCGAACGGACGAGAAGCUUGCUUCUCUGAUGUUAGCGGCGGACGGGUGAGUAACACGUGGAUAACCUACAUAUAAGACUGGGAUAACUUCGGGAAACCGGAGCUAAUGCCGGAUAAUAUUUUGAACCGCAUGGUUCAAAAGUGAAAGACGGUCUUGCUGUCACUUAUAGAUGGAUCCGCGCUGCAUUAGCUAGUUGGUAAGGUAACGGCUUACCAAGGCAACGAUGCAUAGCCGACCUGAGAGGGUGAUCGGCCACACUGGAACUGAGACACGGUCCAGACUCCUACGGGAGGCAGCAGUAGGGAAUCUUCCGCAAUGGGCGAAAGCCUGACGGAGCAACGCCGCGUGAGUGAUGAAGGUCUUCGGAUCGUAAAACUCUGUUAUUAGGGAAGAACGUAUGUGUAAGUAACUGUGCACAUCUUGACGGUACCUAAUCAGAAAGCCACGGCUAACUACGUGCCAGCAGCCGCGGUAAUACGUAGGUGGCAAGCGUUAUCCGGAAUUAUUGGGCGUAAAGCGCGCGUAGGCGGUUUUUUAAGUCUGAUGUGAAAGCCCACGGCUCAACCGUGGAGGGUCAUUGGAAACUGGAAAACUUGAGUGCAGAAGAGGAAAGUGGAAUUCCAUGUGUAGCGGUGAAAUGCGCAGAGAUAUGGAGGAACACCAGUGGCGAAGGCGACUUUCUGGUCUGUAACCGACGCUGAUGUGCGAAAGCGUGGGGAUCAAACAGGAUUA
RNAcentral lists this ribosomal RNA (739 nucleotides) under uncultured Staphylococcus sp. RNAcentral describes it as "bacterial SSU rRNA". It matches the Rfam family "Bacterial small subunit ribosomal RNA", at positions 59 to 780 of the family's 1533-position model. Lineage: Bacteria; Bacillati; Bacillota; Bacilli; Caryophanales; Staphylococcaceae. The record is from RNAcentral.